RNAcentral lists this transfer RNA (75 nucleotides) under Labilithrix sp. RNAcentral's name for it is "tRNA-Met". The record is from RNAcentral. Lineage: Bacteria; Pseudomonadati; Myxococcota; Polyangiales; Labilitrichaceae.
CGCAGCGUGGGGGAGGAGCGACCCCGCGAGGUUCAUGUCCUCGAGACGCCGGUGCGACUCCGGCCGCUGCUACCA